RNAcentral lists this transfer RNA (69 nucleotides) under Lamiinae sp. 1 ACP-2013. RNAcentral's name for it is "tRNA-Met". It matches the Rfam family "tRNA". Rfam says of the family: Transfer RNA (tRNA) molecules are approximately 80 nucleotides in length. Their secondary structure includes four short double-helical elements and three loops (D, anti-codon, and T loops). The record is from RNAcentral. Lineage: Eukaryota; Metazoa; Arthropoda; Insecta; Coleoptera; Cerambycidae.
UAAAAAGGUAAGCUAAUUAAGCUAUCGGGUUCAUACCCCGCUUAUGAAAGUUUUAGUCUUUCCCUCUUU